This is a long non-coding RNA of Cucurbita maxima (winter squash), 372 nucleotides long. RefSeq lists it as uncharacterized. The transcript is spliced from 2 exons. Lineage: Eukaryota; Viridiplantae; Streptophyta; Magnoliopsida; Cucurbitales; Cucurbitaceae. The record is from RefSeq and is a predicted model, not a curated record.
GGAAGGGAAUAAACUCCCAUGGAUGGUAAACUCCAUGAUCUUAUUUAAAAUGCAUAUGGACACAGUCGGUCGUACGUGUGGUUGGUGUGGAGCAGUGAGGGGUGACGUGGAAAUUAAAUUAAUUAUAGAAAAUGAAAAAAAAAAUAAUAAUAAUAAUUAAAUGGUUGGCAAUAGAGGAGGGGGGAGGGUCACGUGACAUGGAGCACUGGCGGAUGGGUGAUUUUGUCGUGGGGAAUUCAUUCUCCCAAAAAAUAUCAGCAAGUGGCCGACACCCUCAUCCAACCCUUCCACAUCACACACUUCACACUCUCAUAUUAUAAUAUUUUUAUUAUUAUUUAAUCACGUUAUUCUCACUGAAUUAAUUAAAUAUUU